This 216-nucleotide ribosomal RNA is filed under the name Glomeromycotina sp. RNAcentral's name for it is "partial small subunit ribosomal RNA". The stretch from base 40 to 216 matches the Rfam family "Eukaryotic small subunit ribosomal RNA", at positions 686 to 864 of the family's 1831-position model. Lineage: Eukaryota; Fungi; Glomeromycota. The record is from RNAcentral.
GGGUCAGUAGGUUGGUCGUGCCACCGGUACGUACUGGUCUCACUGAUUCCUCCUUCCUGAAUAACCGUAAUGCCAUUAAUUUGGUGUUGCGGGGAAACAGGACUGUUACUUUGAAAAAAUUACAGUGUUUAAAGCAAGCUAACGCUUGAAUACAUUAGCAUGGAAUAAUGAAAUAGGACGAUCGAUCCUAUUUUGUUGGUUUCUAGGAUUGACGUA